This 460-nucleotide ribosomal RNA is filed under the name uncultured bacterium. Its description in RNAcentral is "partial 16S ribosomal RNA". It matches the Rfam family "Bacterial small subunit ribosomal RNA", at positions 338 to 795 of the family's 1533-position model. The record is from RNAcentral.
CCUACGGGUGGCUGCAGUGAGGAAUAUUGGUCAAUGGACGCAAGUCUGAACCAGCCAUGCCGCGUGCAGGAAGACGGCUCUAUGAGUUGUAAACUGCUUUUGUACGAGGGUAAACGCCGAUACGCGUAUCUGUCUGAAAGUAUCGUACGAAUAAGGAUCGGCUAACUCCGUGCCAGCAGCCGCGGUAAUACGGAGGUGCCAAGCGUUAUCCGGAUUUACUGGGUGUAAAGGGCGCGUAGGCGGGAAGGUAAGUGAGAGGUGAAAACCCUGGGCUCAACCUGUGAACUGCAUUUGAAACUGUUGUUCGUGAGUACGGGUGAGGUAGGCGGAAUGCCUGGUGUAGCGGUGAAAUGCGUAGAGAUCAGGAAGAACACCGAUUGCGAAGGCAGCCUACGGGACUGCAACUGACGCUGAGGCGCGAAAGCGUGGGGAGCAAACAGGAUUAGAUACCCCAGUAGUC